Molecule: ribosomal RNA, 330 nt
Filed under: uncultured bacterium
Lineage: Bacteria
Description: bacterial SSU rRNA
Rfam family: Bacterial small subunit ribosomal RNA
Source: RNAcentral
UCCGUAGGCGGUGCGGCAAGUCGGAAGUGAAAUCUCCGGGCUUAACUCGGAGGCUGCUUCCGAAACUGCCGUGCUCGAGUGCGAGAGAGGCAAGUGGAAUUGCGGGUGUAGCGGUGAAAUGCGUAGAUAUCCGCAGGAACAUCCGAGGCGAAAGCGGCUUGCUGGAUCGCAACCGACGCUGAGGGACGAAAGCUAGGGGAGCAAACAGGAUUAGAUACCCUGGUAGUCCUAGCCCUAAACCAUCAGGACUUGGGGUUUGCCCUGUACGGGGCAAGUCCCGGAGCUAACGCGUUAAGUCCUGCGCCUGGGGAGUACGGUCGCAAGGCUGAA